This 397-nucleotide ribosomal RNA is filed under the name uncultured bacterium. RNAcentral describes it as "partial 16S ribosomal RNA". It matches the Rfam family "Bacterial small subunit ribosomal RNA", at positions 523 to 918 of the family's 1533-position model. The record is from RNAcentral.
AUACGUAGGUGACAAGCGUUAUCCGGAUUUACUGGGCGUAAAGGGCGUGUAGGCGGUCUUGCAAGUCAGAAGUGAAAUUCCUGAGCUCAACUCGGGCGCUGCUUCUGAAACUGCAGGACUUGAGUGCUGGAGGGGAUAGCGGAAUUCCUAGUGGAGCGGUAAAAUGCGCAGAUAUUAGGAAGAACACCGGUGGCGAAGGCGGGUAUCUGGACAGUAACUGACGCUGAGGCGCGAAAGCGUGGGGAGCAAACAGGAUUAGAUCCCCUGGUAGUCCACGCCGUAAACGAUGAAUACUAGGUGUAGGGGGUAUCGACUCCCUCUGUGCCGCAGUUAACACAAUAAGUAUUCCGCCUGGGGAGUACGGCCGCAAGGUUGAAACUCAAAUGAAUUGACGGGG